Molecule: ribosomal RNA, 253 nt
Filed under: uncultured bacterium
Lineage: Bacteria
Description: partial 16S ribosomal RNA
Rfam family: Bacterial small subunit ribosomal RNA
Source: RNAcentral
UACAGAGGUGGCAAGCGUUGUUCGGAAUUACUGGGCGUAGAGGGCGCGUAGGCGGCCUUGUCAGUCAGACGUGAAAUCCCCAGGCUUAACCUGGGAACUGCGUCUGAUACUACAAGGCUGGAGUGCGGGAGAGGGAUGUGGAAUUCCAGGUGUAGCGGUGAAAUGCGUAGAUAUCUGGAGGAACACCGGUGGCGAAGGCGGCAUCCUGGACCGACACUGACGCUGAGGCGCGAAAGCUAGGGGAGCAAACGGG